Molecule: long non-coding RNA, 200 nt
Filed under: Salvia miltiorrhiza (redroot sage)
Lineage: Eukaryota; Viridiplantae; Streptophyta; Magnoliopsida; Lamiales; Lamiaceae
Description: long non-coding RNA (SMIL_LNC011298)
Source: RNAcentral
UCCUCUCUCUCCCUUCCCUCUCUCCAUGGCAGAAACCAAACAAAAAUUAAAAAUUCUUCCCAAAAUUGAAGAAAUUGCAUAAACCAAAUCGAAGAAAUCAAAGAAACCAAACAAAUUUUUCAGAAACCAGAUCGAAAUUAAUUCCAAACAAGUUUCAAAAUUAAAUCCCCAAAUCGGAGCCCUAUAUUCCCAAAUCCACG